Long non-coding RNA from Pygoscelis adeliae (Adelie penguin), 411 nucleotides. RefSeq lists it as uncharacterized. Lineage: Eukaryota; Metazoa; Chordata; Aves; Sphenisciformes; Spheniscidae. The transcript has 2 exons. The record is from RefSeq and is a predicted model, not a curated record.
CAAUCGCGUGUUUUACAGUCCCACCGGUUAAAACAGAAUCCGUUCUACAGCGUCUCGCAUACUCAGGACGGAAGAUCAUCUACGCUACCCAACAGGCUUUCAGCAGGGUCACCGGGGAAGCUUACUGCCAUCGCCAUUUGCAGCAUGGCCCUGUCUGUGGAAAGGAAGGGAGCGCCUGGAGCCCUUGCCGUGGUCUCGGAUCUAUAGGCCUCUCACAAGCCAGGUGACGAGUCCUUAGGUCAAAGCUUGAGCUGCACCGUCACUUUAAUGUGGUACCUGUGGCACUGCUGCUGAGUCACUCCUCCUUUCUCUACCCUCAUGUACUUACUCCUGUCCCUCCCCUAUGCUGGAACAAGCAUUUUUUCUAGCUCUGUAGUAAACCGAUCCGUAUUAAAAAUGACAUGAUUUCUU